Molecule: ribosomal RNA, 335 nt
Filed under: uncultured bacterium
Lineage: Bacteria
Description: bacterial SSU rRNA
Rfam family: Bacterial small subunit ribosomal RNA
Source: RNAcentral
UGCGUAGGCGGGGAGUACAAGUUGAAUGUGAAAUAACAUCGGCUCAACCGGUGUGCUGCGUUCAAAACUAGUAUUUCUUGAGAGAGGUAGAGGUAGGCGGAAUUCCCGGUGUAGCGGUAAAAUGCGUAGAUAUCGGGAGGAACACCAGUGGCGAAGGCGGCCUACUGGGCCUUUUCUGACGCUGAGGCACGAAAGCAUGGGGAGCAAACAGGAUUAGAUACCCUGGUAGUCCAUGCUGUAAACGAUGAAUACUAGGUGUGGGGGGUCGUGACCCCUUCCGUGCCGCAGUUAACACAAUAAGUAUUCCACCUGGGGAGUACGGCCGCAAGGUUGAA